This 420-nucleotide ribosomal RNA is filed under the name uncultured Actinomycetes bacterium. Its description in RNAcentral is "bacterial SSU rRNA". It matches the Rfam family "Bacterial small subunit ribosomal RNA", at positions 28 to 452 of the family's 1533-position model. The record is from RNAcentral. Lineage: Bacteria; Bacillati; Actinomycetota; Actinomycetes.
GACGAACGCUGGCGGCGUGCUUAACACAUGCAAGUCGAACGGUAAGGCUCUUCGGAGUACACGUGUGGCGAACGGGUGCGUAACACGUGACCAACCUACCCUUAACAUCGGGAUAACAUUUGGAAACAGAUGCUAAUACCGGAUACGAACUUGGAAGGCAUCUUCUGAGUUGGAAAGCUCCGGCGGUUAGGGAUGGGGUCGCGGCCUAUCAGCUUGUUGGUGAGGUAAUGGCUCACCAAGGCGACGACGGGUAGCCGGCCUGAGAGGGCGACCGGCCACACUGGGACUGAGAUACGGCCCAGACUCCUACGGGAGGCAGCAGUGGGGAAUAUUGCACAAUGGGCGCAAGCCUGAUGCAGCAACGCCGCGUGCGGGAUGACGGCCUUCGGGUUGUAAACCGCUUUCAGCAGGGACGAAGUG